RNAcentral lists this ribosomal RNA (606 nucleotides) under Phlebia radiata. RNAcentral describes it as "LSU rRNA". It matches the Rfam family "Eukaryotic large subunit ribosomal RNA", at positions 36 to 626 of the family's 3401-position model. The record is from RNAcentral. Lineage: Eukaryota; Fungi; Basidiomycota; Agaricomycetes; Polyporales; Meruliaceae.
AAGCAUAUCAAUAAGCGGAGGAAAAGAAACUAACAAGGAUUCCCCUAGUAACUGCGAGUGAAGCGGGAAAAGCUCAAAUUUAAAAUCUGGCGGUCUUCGAUCGUCCGAGUUGUAGUCUGGAGAAGCGUCUUCCGCGCUGGACCGUGUACAAGUCUCUUGGAACAGAGCGUCGUAGAGGGUGAGAAUCCCGUCUUUGACACGGACUACCAGUGCUUUGUGAUGCGCUCUCAAAGAGUCGAGUUGUUUGGGAAUGCAGCUCAAAAUGGGUGGUAAAUUCCAUCUAAAGCUAAAUAUUGGCGAGAGACCGAUAGCGAACAAGUACCGUGAGGGAAAGAUGAAAAGCACUUUGGAAAGAGAGUUAAACAGUACGUGAAAUUGCUGAAAGGGAAACGAUUGAAGUCAGUCGCGUCGUCUAGAACUCAACCUUGCCUCGGCUCGGUGCAUUUUCUAGUUGACGGGCCAGCAUCAGUUUUGACCGUCGGAAAAAGGUCCUCGGAAUGUGGCACCUUCGGGUGUGUUAUAGCCUUGGGUCGUAUACGACGGUUGGGACUGAGGACCGCAGCACGCCUUUAUGGCCGGGGUCGCCCACGUACGUGCUUAGGAUGC